Molecule: ribosomal RNA, 446 nt
Filed under: uncultured bacterium
Lineage: Bacteria
Description: partial 16S ribosomal RNA
Rfam family: Bacterial small subunit ribosomal RNA
Source: RNAcentral
CCUACGGGUUGCUGCAGUCGAGAAUCAUUCACAAUGGGGGAAACCCUGAUGGUGCGACGCCGCGUGGGGGAAUGAAGUUCUUCGGAUUGUAAACCCCUGUCAUGUGGGAGCAAAUUAAAAAGAUCGUACCCCAAGAAGCAGAGCCUGCGAACUCUGUCCCAGCAGCCGCGGUAAUACAGAGGUCUCAAGCGUUGUUCGGAAUCACUGGGCGUAAAGCUUGCGUAGUCUGUUUCUUAAGUCGGGUGUGAAAGGCGCGGGCUCAACCCGCGGACGGCACAUGAUACUGCGAGACUAGAGGAAGGGAGAGGGAAACGGAAUUCUCGGUGUAGCAGUGAAAUGCGUAGAGAUGGAGAGGAACACUCGUGGCGAAGGCGGGUUCCUGGACAGUAACUGACGCUGAGGCACGAAGGUCAGGGGAGCGAAAGGGAUUAGAUACCCGAGUAGUC